RNAcentral lists this ribosomal RNA (232 nucleotides) under uncultured bacterium. Its description in RNAcentral is "partial 16S ribosomal RNA". It matches the Rfam family "Bacterial small subunit ribosomal RNA", at positions 28 to 258 of the family's 1533-position model. The record is from RNAcentral.
GACGAACGCUGGCGGCGUGCUUAACACAUGCAAGUCGAGCGGUAAGGCCCUUUCGGGGGUACGACGAGCGGCGAACGGGUGAGUAACACGUGGGUGACCUGCCCUCCAGCUCUGGGAGUAAGCCUGGGAAACCGGGUCUAAUACUGGAUAUGACUCCAUGACGCAUGUUGUGGGGUGGAAAGCCUUGUGCGGCUGAGGAUGGGCCCGCGGCCUAUCAGCUUGUUGGUGGGGU